Molecule: non-coding RNA, 45 nt
Filed under: Schistosoma mattheei
Lineage: Eukaryota; Metazoa; Platyhelminthes; Trematoda; Strigeidida; Schistosomatidae
Source: RNAcentral
GUCCAGCUGACGAGUCCAAAAUAGAACGAAGCGCGCUUUCUGGAU